Molecule: RNA transcript, 1796 nt
Organism: Alnus glutinosa
Lineage: Eukaryota; Viridiplantae; Streptophyta; Magnoliopsida; Fagales; Betulaceae
Gene name: E3 ubiquitin-protein ligase RING1-like
Exons: 3
Source: RefSeq, a predicted model, not a curated record
ACUUUCUCUUAAUGAUAUUUUAACGCCGUUCAAACUCAUGUGAAGGCUGUGGUCUACAUCGUUUCCGUCUCCCCGUAACUGGUGCGACUCUCUCUCUCUCUCUCGCGGUUGGUUUGAAAAUGUCUAAUUCUGGCGGAAACCCCGUUGGCGGAGGCGGCGCAGCCACCAGCACCGCAGCGGCGCCUCAGCUCUACUUCUGCCACCAGUGCAACCGUACGGUGACCCUCAUCCCCUCUCCUACCUCCGAUCUCUCCUGCCCCGUUUGCCAUGACGGCUUUCUCGAAGAACUCGAAAACCCCAACCCUAUCCCAAACCCCAUGCCCUUCCACAAUUCCUUCUUUACUUCCUCCUCCUCCGACUUCCCCGCCGCGCAUCCCCUCCUCUUCUCCGCCUCCCCCAACGCUGUCCCCAUGUUCAAUGAUCUCCCCGCCCUCUUCGGCGCCUCCGCGGGCACCACCCGCACCUCGCCCUUCGAAGAAUCUGACGCCUUCAACCCCUUUGUUUUCCUUCAGAAUUACCUCCAAACCCUAGGCGGCAACGUCGAGGUCGUCAUUAACUCGGGCGGCGACCCGGGGUUCCGUGGCGGUGUCGGCGCCCCCAACAUCAAUCUUGGCGACUAUUUCUUUGGACCCGGUCUCGAACAACUGAUCCAACAGCUGGCUGAGAACGAUCCAAACCGGUACGGGACGCCUCCGGCAUCGAAAUCGGCCAUCCAGGCGUUGCCGGACGUUAAGAUCUCGGAGGAUUUGUUGGCUUCAGAUUCGUGGCAGUGCGCGGUGUGUAAGGACACGUUCGAGCUGGACGAGGAGGCCAAGCAGAUGCCGUGCAAGCACAUUUACCAUGCGGAUUGUAUUCUGCCUUGGUUGGAACUGCAUAAUUCUUGUCCUGUGUGUCGCCAUGAGCUGCCAACCGAUGACCCCGAUUACGAGCAAAGGACUCUCAGAAGGUCCGUGUCCUCGGGGGCUGGGAAUCAGACAGGGGGUGCUGGUGCUGGUGCUGGUGCUGGUAGCAGUGGUAUUGCCGAUCAGAGUCAGGAUGGGGCUUCUGAAGAGACUCCACAGACCCCGAGGACGGCAGAGCGGAGGUUUAGGAUCUCAUUGCCAUUUCCAUGGCCAUUUAGGGCGUUCGGGUCACCUGCUGAGACGAGCAAUAGUGGGAGUGUCAACAACAACGCAAGCAAUGAUGGUGAAGGGAAUUCUGGAAGUAGAGGAAAUCAGAACUUCCAAUCAGAGACCAGACAGGAAGAUCUUGACUGAAGACCAAUGGUUAUUGGAUGAAAAAGAUUAUAGAAUGCUCUGGUAUUACUAAUGGUCAGCCAAACAAAUGAUGAAAAAUUCUUCAGUGACAUUCAGAGAAAUUGUGUCAAAUGAAACCAAAUUUCCCUGAAGUUCUUGUCUGUCCUGAGAUGUGGUCUGAAGACCUUCCACAUGAGUGCAUGAUGCUUGUAGGUCAUUGGAGCACACCAUGCACAUAUACCAUUUGUUGAUCCUAGUGGAUGUGUGCAUCAAGAACCAUAUAAUAUCCAUUUGAACUGGAAAUUUAUGCUUCUGCUUUUGGUAUCAAGACCGGUACACGAAUUUGCAAGCAAUGUUGAAUAUAGGAAAGAUCUUACAUAAUGAUAAGUGAGUUGCAUUUUAUUUUUUUUUUCCCUGUAAUAAUUUUAAGUAAAUGCCCAUCUUCAGUUUACCAUUUCGGGAUUAAUUCAUACUUUCUGAAUGUUAUUUUUCAUGGAAUCCUUUUUACUGUCACAUCUUGAGCUCGAAAGUGAUGCUGCAAUUUACUCUUAUUUUCUUUCA